Molecule: non-coding RNA, 29 nt
Filed under: Homo sapiens (human)
Lineage: Eukaryota; Metazoa; Chordata; Mammalia; Primates; Hominidae
Source: RNAcentral
ACAGAGCCCAGUACAGUACCUAUUAUUAA